RNAcentral lists this ribosomal RNA (566 nucleotides) under Burkholderia sp. RNAcentral's name for it is "bacterial SSU rRNA". It matches the Rfam family "Bacterial small subunit ribosomal RNA", at positions 66 to 624 of the family's 1533-position model. The record is from RNAcentral. Lineage: Bacteria; Pseudomonadati; Pseudomonadota; Betaproteobacteria; Burkholderiales; Burkholderiaceae.
GCAGCACGGGUGCUUGCACCUGGUGGCGAGUGGCGAACGGGUGAGUAAUACAUCGGAACAUGUCCUGUAGUGGGGGAUAGCCCGGCGAAAGCCGGAUUAAUACCGCAUACGAUCUACGGAUGAAAGCGGGGGACCUUCGGGCCUCGCGCUAUAGGGUUGGCCGAUGGCUGAUUAGCUAGUUGGUGGGGUAAAGGCCUACCAAGGCGACGAUCAGUAGCUGGUCUGAGAGGACGACCAGCCACACUGGGACUGAGACACGGCCCAGACUCCUACGGGAGGCAGCAGUGGGGAAUUUUGGACAAUGGGCGAAAGCCUGAUCCAGCAAUGCCGCGUGUGUGAAGAAGGCCUUCGGGUUGUAAAGCACUUUUGUCCGGAAAGAAAUCCUUGGUUCUAAUAUAACCGGGGGAUGACGGUACCGGAAGAAUAAGCACCGGCUAACUACGUGCCAGCAGCCGCGGUAAUACGUAAGGUGCAAGCCUUAAUCGGAAUUACUGGGCGUAAAGCGUGCGCCGGCGGUUUGUUUAAGACCGAUGUGAAAUCCCCGGGGCUCAACCCUGGGGAACUGC